UGGGCGUAAGCCUGAACCAGCCAAGUCGCGUGAGGGAUGAAGGAUCUAUGGUUCGUAAACCUCUUUUAUAAGGGAAUAAAGUGCGGGACGUGUCCUGUUUUGUAUGUACCUUAUGAAUAAGGAUCGGCUAACUCCGUGCCAGCAGCCGCGGUAAUACGGAGGAUCCGAGCGUUAUCCGGAUUUAUUGGGUUUAAAGGGUGCGUAGGCGGCCUUUUAAGUCAGCGGUGAAAGUCUGUGGCUCAACCAUAGAAUUGCCGUUGAAACUGGGGGGCUUGAGUAUGUUUGAGGCAGGCGGAAUGCGUGGUGUAGCGGUGAAAUGCAUAGAUAUCACGCAGAACCCCGAUUGCGAAGGCAGCCUGCCAAGCCAUGACUGACGCUGAUGCACGAAAGCGUGGGGAUCGAACAGGAUUAGAUACCCUGGUAGUCCACGCAGUAAACGAUGAUCACUAGCUGUUUGCGAUACACGGUAAGCGGCACAGCGAAAGCGUUAAGUGAUCCACCUGGGGAGUACGCCGGCAACGGUGAAACUCAAAGGAAUUGACGGGGG
This 547-nucleotide ribosomal RNA is filed under the name Parabacteroides distasonis. RNAcentral's name for it is "bacterial SSU rRNA". It matches the Rfam family "Bacterial small subunit ribosomal RNA", at positions 372 to 919 of the family's 1533-position model. The record is from RNAcentral. Lineage: Bacteria; Pseudomonadati; Bacteroidota; Bacteroidia; Bacteroidales; Tannerellaceae.